UGGGGAAUCUUGGACAAUGGGGGCAACCCUGAUCCAGCCAUGCCGCGUGAGCGAUGAAGGCCUUAGGGUUGUAAAGCUCUUUCAGCGGGGAAGAUAAUGACGGUACCCGCAGAAGAAGCCCCGGCUAACUUCGUGCCAGCAGCCGCGGUAAUACGAAGGGGGCUAGCGUUGUUCGGAAUUACUGGGCGUAAAGCGCGCGUAGGCGGAUCGCUAAGUCAGGGGUGAAAUCCCAGGGCUCAACCCUGGAACUGCCUUUGAUACUGACGGUCUGGAGAUCGGGAGAGGUGAGUGGAAUUCCGAGUGUAGAGGUGAAAUUCGUAGAUAUUCGGAGGAACACCAGAAGCGAAGGCGGCUCACUGGCCCGAUACUGACGCUGAGGCGCGAAAGCGUGGGGAGCAAACA
RNAcentral lists this ribosomal RNA (402 nucleotides) under uncultured Afifella sp. RNAcentral describes it as "bacterial SSU rRNA". It matches the Rfam family "Bacterial small subunit ribosomal RNA", at positions 355 to 774 of the family's 1533-position model. The record is from RNAcentral. Lineage: Bacteria; Pseudomonadati; Pseudomonadota; Alphaproteobacteria; Hyphomicrobiales; Afifellaceae.